Molecule: long non-coding RNA, 486 nt
Filed under: Solanum tuberosum (potato)
Lineage: Eukaryota; Viridiplantae; Streptophyta; Magnoliopsida; Solanales; Solanaceae
Description: long non-coding RNA (STUB_LNC003900)
Source: RNAcentral
AUAAGCAGGUAGUUGCUUCCUUUUACUCUUGAAAUCAGCAGGAUAACCAAUGAUCCUGUAGCAGUCCUUACUCAAGUGAUUCCUGUAACCAUAAUGAUCACAUGCUACAUCUAAUAAUUUCUUCCCUUUGAAAUUUUGUCUUCUGUUGACUAGCAUGGUGAGAGGCUCCUUGUUAAUGUCCACCACACCUAGUAACCUCUGACUCUCUUCAUGCACUACUGUAGCAUAUGCUUGAUUGACAGUAGGCACCACAGUUUUAAGUAACAGAUCACUCCUCACUUGACUGUAUGACACAUUCAAGCCCAUUAGAAACAUCAAUAACCUCUGUUGACUUAGAUGUUCUAUGUAUGGUUUAGCUUCAUCACAACUACAUAGAGGUGAGGGAACUAACACAUCUAAUUCAUCCCAUAGAUCCCUCAAUUUCGAAAAAUAAACUGUAACAGAAUCAGUACCUUGUUUCAAGGAGGAUACCUCUGCCCAGAGUUG